Molecule: transfer RNA, 71 nt
Filed under: Candidatus Omnitrophota bacterium
Lineage: Bacteria; Pseudomonadati; Candidatus Omnitrophota
Also listed under: 1 other name
Description: tRNA-Gly
Rfam family: tRNA
About the family: Transfer RNA (tRNA) molecules are approximately 80 nucleotides in length. Their secondary structure includes four short double-helical elements and three loops (D, anti-codon, and T loops).
Source: RNAcentral
GCGGGUGUAAUUCAGUGGCAGAAUAACAGCUUCCCAAGCUGUGUAUGGCGGUUCGAUUCCGCUCACCCGCU